GGCUGGUCCAAGGGCAGUAGUGUUUACAACUAAUUGAUCACAACUAUCCAAUCAAUUACAGAUUCUUUUGUUCCUUCUCCACUCCCACUGCUUCACUUGACUAGCCUAAA
This is an unclassified non-coding RNA of Otolemur garnettii (small-eared galago), 110 nucleotides long. It matches the Rfam family "Y RNA". From Rfam's summary of the family: Y RNAs are components of the Ro ribonucleoprotein particle (Ro RNP), in association with Ro60 and La proteins. The record is from Ensembl. NCBI's taxonomy places the organism in Eukaryota, Metazoa, Chordata, Mammalia, Primates, Galagidae.